GACGAACGCUGGCGGCGUGCCUAAUACAUGCAAGUCGAACGAGUGGCGGACGGGUGAGUAAUGCUUGGGAAUCUAGCUUAUGGAGGGGGAUAACUACGGGAAACUGUAGCUAAUACCGCGUACCAUAGGAUGAGCCCAAGGGGGAUUAGGUAGUUGGUGAGGUAAAGGCUCACCAAGCCGACGAACUCUAGCUGGGCUGAGAGGAUGACCAGCCACACUGGGAAUGAGACACGGCCCAGAAUCCUACGGGAGGGCGCAGUGGGGAAUAUUGCGCAAUGGGGGGAAACUGACGCAGCCAUGCCGCGGGAAUGAAGAAGGCCGUCGGGUUGUAAAGUUCUUUCGGUAGCGAGGCGUUAACUACAGAAGAAGCACCGGCUAACUCCGUGCCAGCAGGCGCGGUAAUAC
RNAcentral lists this ribosomal RNA (405 nucleotides) under uncultured bacterium. RNAcentral's name for it is "partial 16S ribosomal RNA". It matches the Rfam family "Bacterial small subunit ribosomal RNA", at positions 28 to 526 of the family's 1533-position model. The record is from RNAcentral.